CCUACGGGGGGCAGCAGUGAGGAAUAUUGGUCAAUGGCCGCAAGGCUGAACCAGCCAAGUAGCGUGAGGGAAGACUGCCCUAUGGGUUGUAAACCUCUUUUAUGCGGGGAUAAAGGUGUCCACGUGUGGAUGUUUGCAGGUACCGCAUGAAUAAGGACCGGCUAAUUCCGUGCCAGCAGCCGCGGUAAUACGGAGGAUCCGAGCGUUAUCCGGAUUUAUUGGGUUUAAAGGGAGCGCAUAUGGGUUGUUAAGUCAGUUGUGAAAGUUUGCGGCUCAACCGUAAAAUUGCAAUUGAUACUGGCAGUCUUGAGUAUAGUUGAGGUAGGCGGAAUUCGUGGUGUAGCGGUGAAAUGCUUAGAUAUCACGAAGAACACCGAUUGCGAAGGCAGCUUACUAAACUGUGACUGACAUUGAUGCUCGAAAGUGUGGGUAGCAAACAGGAUUAGAUACCCCUGUAGUC
This 460-nucleotide ribosomal RNA is filed under the name uncultured bacterium. RNAcentral's name for it is "partial 16S ribosomal RNA". It matches the Rfam family "Bacterial small subunit ribosomal RNA", at positions 338 to 795 of the family's 1533-position model. The record is from RNAcentral.